GACCAACCAUCAAAGUAGGCACGCACGAUGACCUCCAAGAGGACCCUACCGUGGAAGUUUGAACACUCAAUCCAACCUGCUUGCUUGCGUAACUUGGGUGGAACUCGGAGGUGUACUCGAAAACCUUCCUGAUGGGCUUUUGUUUAGGAUUUCCAUUACUUUUGGCUAUGAUUUGGUUUUAGGUUGUACUUUUGGAUUUGAAAUGUAACUCUUUGGGCGAUGAUAUAAC
Molecule: non-coding RNA, 229 nt
Organism: Coffea arabica (coffee)
Lineage: Eukaryota; Viridiplantae; Streptophyta; Magnoliopsida; Gentianales; Rubiaceae
Source: RefSeq, a predicted model, not a curated record